ACCAGGAUGGCCGAGUGGUUAAGGCGUUGGACUUAAGAUCCAAUGGAUGUGUAUCCGCGUGGGUUCGAACCCCACUCCUGGUA
RNAcentral lists this transfer RNA (83 nucleotides) under Scleropages formosus (Asian bonytongue). It matches the Rfam family "tRNA". Rfam says of the family: Transfer RNA (tRNA) molecules are approximately 80 nucleotides in length. Their secondary structure includes four short double-helical elements and three loops (D, anti-codon, and T loops). Lineage: Eukaryota; Metazoa; Chordata; Actinopteri; Osteoglossiformes; Osteoglossidae. The record is from Rfam by way of RNAcentral.